UGGUGGGGAGGGCAGGGUAGGAGCAGGGUCAGGAGGCAGCUGGUCACAAGCACCCACAGUCAGGAUACAGAGAGAUGGGGGCUGGGCUCAGCUCUCUUUCUCCUUUUCAUUCAGUCCGUGGCUCCGGCCCUUGGCACGGUGCUGCCUACAUUCAGGGAGGAUUUUGUUUGCUAAGUUAAAUCUCUCUGGAGCUGUGUCUCCUCUGUGAUUCUGAAUCCAGCCAUGUUGACAAUGAAGAUGAACAUCCCACACUCCAUCUUGGCAGCAGGGAGAGAGAGAACCAUGGGGCCUGGCAUGGACUCCUGAAACCUCAAAGCUCACUGCCAGUGACACACACUUCCUCCAACAAGGCCACACCUCUGACCCUUUCAGACAGGGCCACAUCCUGGUAGCAGCUUGAAUGAGGAUGUCUUCCAAGGGAUGGUAUGUUUGAACUUGGUCCCCACUUGGUUGGCACUGUCUGCAGGAGGAUUACGGUGUGUAGCCUUGCUAGAGAAAGUAGUCACUGGGGUGGCCUUUGAGUGCACAUAGUCUCUCCCCACAUCUGGGUCCUGUCUGAGAUGUGAGUUCUCAAAUUCCCUCCCCUGCUGCCUUGCAGGUCUGCUGUGAUGGACUUUCGUACCCUCCAGAACCACAGUCUUCCAUCUAUAAGUGCACUGACCGUUUCUUCACAGCAACGUGAAAGUAGCUACCACAGGGCCAUUCACUCAUCCGUUCAACCCACAUUCGCAGGCUCUGGGGAGUCCCCUGGGCAGAGGGCCUUGCCUCAACCUUAGGACUAGGUGCUGUGCAAAAUGUAACAAGAGUUCCAACAUUUGCUGCCUUCAAAGUCACAAAUUUGGAGGGCUGGCAAGAAGGCUUGGCUGCAGAACCAUGAGAACCUGGGUUUGAGUCCCCAGCCCCGUUUAAGUCAGGCACGGUCCUUCCUUCCUCCUUCCUUCCUUCCUUCCUUCCUUCCUUCCUUCCUUUGGAUAGGGUUUUUCUGUGUAGCCCUGGCUGUCUUGUAACUCAGUUUGUAGACCAGGCUGGCCUUGAACUCAGAGUUUCACCUAUCUCUGCAGAUUAAAGUGCUGGGCUUAAAGGCACAUGCCACCACAACCCAGCACAGUUUUCUUUAAGAGUGUAGGCCGUGGUAAACUUACUGUGCUUCUGUGAAAGCCAGCAUAUCCAAGAAUAUAUAGGAAGUACAAAUUGGACUUGAUGGGUGAAAAAAAGGGGGGGGGGCACACAAAAUUGAAUUGGUAGGGAAGGAGAGUGGAUUUGGCAGGACUUGGGGAGUGGAUAUGUUCAAAACACAUUAUUUGGGAUUCUGUAAGAACUAAUAAAAAAACCUAACUGGCAACAAAGAGAGAAAAUUGAAUAUAUUUGAAAAUUUAUAUAAAUGAAAAAGAUUGGUGGACAGACUAGCCUUAUAGAUCUGCAUGUGAGCCAUCUACAGCACAGAGAUGGAGGUGGCUGGCUGGCUGGCCGCCCAGGAUUUAGAUUCCCUGGAUUUGCAGCCUGCCCAGUUAAAGACUACAUUUCCCAGCACCCUUUGUGUUUAGGGACAGCCACAUGACCAAUUCUCACCAAUGGGGUAGGGUAGAGAAGGCAGAGGUGACUGGGUUCACCUCCCUCCACAUCUUUUGAAGGACCCCUCCUAGGGUAUUAAGUAUGGAGCAUCCCAGGUGAAGGGAUGCUGUAUCCCGAGUCACGCCAUUAGGCCUUUAGAAGAACAAGAGUUGCAUUUGGGAAAGAGAUCUGGGGUCAUUUGUUUUACAGUGGCCUGUCCUAUUAACUGAAUGUGACUGGGUCCGCUCUUUCCAGCCACCUCUUCUACUUCAUUUCCUGUGGGCUCCAUCCUACUUUACACAGGAUGUCUACAGGCAACUCUAGACCAAGAAGCAACUCCAGAGGGUCCCGGGCUCGUGGCCACAGAAAGGAACACGUACCCCUUUUGCUAGUUUGGUAAGGACGGACGAGUGAGAUGACUCGUUGGAAAGGUGCUUGCCUUAGGGCAAAUCCCUGGAUCCCACAUGAUGGAGGGACAGAACUGGUCCCUACAAGCUGUCUCCCGACCUCCAUAGCGUGCUAUAGCGCGCAUGCGCCCUUUGGUGAGCAAGUAAAUGAAGGCGAUAAAAAUUUAAGCAAGAGUUUGACUAAGCCCCAGGCUGCCUGCUUGUGAGGAUGGCCUAAAAUAAUGAGCAACCGUGCCGAGGUGUGACAGGGCACGCCAGGAUCAGCCUGGGCGCUGGCCUUGUGGUGGUGGUGGUGGGAGGCUGGAUGUUGGGCACCUGCCUGUCACCUUUAAUGUGUCCUGUUCUCACAGUCUCCCUGGCGACAGUGUCCUUUGCUGUUCAGCGAGGGGAUUGGAUAUAUGGGGUCAUGGGAGGGGCUUCUAAAGAGAAGCGACCUCGGACGGUUGCCCGGAUCUGAUAUGUGGCAAAGCUCAGGCUUCCACGUGGUGGUAACCUGUGCUCCGGGCUGCCUUCUUCCUUUUGUUCUCUCUCACAUCCAUGCAGGACGUUUCCUGGAAAGACAUCAAUGCCCGGCCCGACAUGUGCGUUUUUUGAACAUCACUUUUCCGUCUUUCCUGCUGUCGGUACUCGGGUUAGCUUGGCUGCCAUGCUGACCCUUUGAUCAGAGCCUGCCACUCCUGCUCCCGGCUAGCUGCUUCAAACCCUGAGGCAGAGUUUCCGUGUUACCACCUAGAAGCUGCUGCAGCUUCACCUCAUGGGUGAAGGGUCCGACUCCUCUUCCUCCUGGACGCCCUCCAAGCUGCCUGGGUCAUGAUGAGCUCCCUGAACCUCUGGGGUGACUCCUGCUGCUGCAGCUAAUUGUGUUUGGUUCUGUCCUCCAGUAGAGCUGAGCAGAAGCAAGGAAAUCAAAUCAAAUCAAGAUGACAUUUAUUUAAUGUGGGCUAACCGUCAGGCGCCCCACUGGGGGCGUUGGCACCUCACUCUAAUUUGCUUCUCACCGAGCAGCCCCGCAAAUGGAAUAACCGGACUCACACUUUUUUGUGCACAUAAAGAAACCAAAACAAGACAGACAGCAUCCCAAGAACAAUGUCACACACAAAGAGGAAGGAACAGGCCACGGUGUUCCUGUGCAAGUCAGAAGACAACCCCAGGCAUCAGUCCUUGCCUCCCAUGUUCAAGGCAGGGUCUUUGUUCACAGCCACAUAUACCAAGCUAGCUGGCAUAAGUGCUUCUGGGGAUUGCUCUGCCUCCUUAAAGGAAUGCUGGAAUCAUAGGCAACACCCCACACUGUCCCCAUUCCAGCACUCCCUUCUCCGGGUAUUCGAACUCAGGUCCUCGUACUUGUUCGCAAUCACUUUUCCCACUGAGCCAUCCCACUAGCCCUAGGAAUAGGUUUCUAUGUAUUUGUUUGUUUAUUUUUAAUUGAUUGGUUAAUUAGUCGAGUCUAGGUCUCACUAUGUAGCCCCUGCUAGCCUGGAACUCAAUGCAGAGACCAGGCUGGUCUUGUACUCUCAGAGAUUCCCCUGCUGAGUGCUGGGAUCAAAGGUGCGCGCCAUCACUGCCCGACCCUCAUUCAGCAUUUACCGAGGGGUAUGAGCUAGCUUCCUGGCUGUUGGAGGUGGGGUAGCGUGGACAGGGUGGAAGGUGUGUGUCGGCGUCUCCAGAACGUAGCGAUUAAGGGCAAAGACUCUGGGAUCCGCAUCAGCAUUUGAGCUGUGCGCCCCACGUAAGGCACGCUCCUCUCUCAGGCUCUGACUGUCCCUGUGGGCAGCUGUUAGGAUGCCAGCCGUUGCUCUAUUCUGCCUCGUUUUCCAAACCCCUGGGCUGCACUUACAGGGUGCUUACUGUGCACCUGAGGACACUCAGAGUGCUUCCAUGUGUAACUGGUGUUUGGCUGGGCCAGCCCUCAUUGGUCCCUGCAAUUAUUAUUACUGCUUCUUGACAGGAGGAAACCGAGGCUCAGCGCCCCUGGGAUCCAGACACAGUCUGCCUGGCUCCCGAGCCCUCGGCUUUAACCUCUCUUAGCAUUGCUUGCUGUGUGUUUGAUAAAUGGUGAUGGGACUGACCGAAUGAAGUCACCCAGGCAAGUGUUUCCAGGCUGGGGUGGGCCUCCCUGAGUCCCCAGGGGACCGCUUCAACCACGUCCGUCUUUGACUUGGACUCUGACACAGAUGACUCAGGGUGAAGUCAUGCUCCCAGGGAGGAGACCCUGGCCCUGUGGUGGAGAGGGCUGCCCAGUGUGAUCCGGGGCUUCCAGCUUCUAGCUCCGCGCCGUGGUUGGCAGAUUCCUCCACCUCCUUUCUUUCCUCCCACAUUCUGAAAGCAAAGGGCUCCCUGAUGGAGGCAGCCUGAAGGCUGGGCCUCAGGCGUCUGAGCAGAUUUCAAAGGUCUCUUAUCUGAUCUCGUAGACCCUUUCCCCCUCUGUCUGACUGCAGGGAGGUAGUGGCAUAUGCCACCUCUGACAAGCCCACGUAUUGCCGAGCCAUCCCUGCCAUGGCCCAGGCUGGCAGCUUAGAUGGAGGAAGUAAUCUGCUAGUGGGUAUGUGGGUGUAUGUGUGGUGGUGAGGCUUUCAGACCAGGCCCAAAGGCGCCUUCGUCCUUUGUGCCUUUCUUUUCUUUGUGUCUCUAACUGUUUGAAAUUCAAGAUGCCCUUUGAGGAGGAUUCUGUGUCCCAAAGGAAGCUGGGGUCUGUCUGGGUUCCAGGGCUGUGCCUUGCCGCCCUCAACUGCCAUCCCCCACCUCUUCUCUUCUCUUCUCUUCUCUUCUCUUCUCUUCUCUUCUCUUCU
This is a long non-coding RNA of Meriones unguiculatus (Mongolian gerbil), 4744 nucleotides long. RefSeq lists it as uncharacterized. The transcript has 5 exons. NCBI's taxonomy places the organism in Eukaryota, Metazoa, Chordata, Mammalia, Rodentia, Muridae. The record is from RefSeq and is a predicted model, not a curated record.